CCUACGGGUGGCAGCAGUGGGGGAUAUUGCACAAUGGGGGAAACCCUGAUGCAGCGAUGCCGCGUGAAUGAAGACGGCCUUCGGGUUGUAAAGUUCUGUCGCAGGGGACGAAAAUGACGGUACCCUGCAAGAAAGCUCCGGCUAACUACGUGCCAGCAGCCGCGGUAAUACGUAGGGAGCAAGCGUUGUCCGGAAUUACUGGGUGUAAAGGGAGCGUAGGCGGGAGGAUAAGUUGAAUGUGAAAUCUAUGGGCUCAACCCAUAGCUGUGUUCAAAACUGUUCUUCUUGAGUGAAGUAGAGGCAGGCGGAAGUCCUAGUGUAGCGGUGAAAUGCGUAGAUAUUAGGAGGAACACCAGUGGCGCAGGCAGCUUGCUAAUCCGCAUCUGACGCUGAUGCACGAAAGCGUGGGUAGCGAACAGGAUUAGAUACCCCGGUAGUC
This 439-nucleotide ribosomal RNA is filed under the name uncultured bacterium. Its description in RNAcentral is "partial 16S ribosomal RNA". It matches the Rfam family "Bacterial small subunit ribosomal RNA", at positions 338 to 795 of the family's 1533-position model. The record is from RNAcentral.